Molecule: small nuclear RNA, 308 nt
Filed under: Erinaceus europaeus (western European hedgehog)
Lineage: Eukaryota; Metazoa; Chordata; Mammalia; Eulipotyphla; Erinaceidae
Description: 7SK RNA
Rfam family: 7SK RNA
About the family: 7SK was discovered as an abundant small nuclear RNA in the mid-70s but a possible function has only recently been suggested. Two independent studies have found that 7SK RNA binds the CDK9/cyclin T complex (known as elongation factor P-TEFb). P-TEFb activates transcription by phosphorylating the C-terminal domain of RNA polymerase II.
Source: Rfam by way of RNAcentral
GGAUGUGACGGCAAUCUGACUUCUUCAUCUGUCACCCCAAUCAUCACCAGGAUUGAUUCGGCUGAUCUGGCUGGCUAGGCGGGUGUCCCCUUCCUCUCUCACUACUCCAUGUGCAUCCCUCCCAAAGUUGUCAGGCUGGUUGAAAAGGACUGGGCUUCCCUUUUCAAAUGGAGACAGAUGGUCAAGUAGCUGUGCUCCCCUAAUAGAACCUCCAAACAAGCUCUCAAAGUUCUGAGAGACAGUAAUUUUCAACCUAAAUUUUAUGCUCAGCAAAAACAUCCUUUAAAAAUGAGAGUUUAAUACUAUUU